RNAcentral lists this ribosomal RNA (460 nucleotides) under uncultured bacterium. RNAcentral's name for it is "partial 16S ribosomal RNA". It matches the Rfam family "Bacterial small subunit ribosomal RNA", at positions 338 to 795 of the family's 1533-position model. The record is from RNAcentral.
CCUACGGGUGGCAGCAGUGAGGAAUAUUGGUCAAUGGACGAGAGUCUGAACCAGCCAAGUAGCGUGAAGGAUGACUGCCCUAUGGGUUGUAAACUUCUUUUAUAUGGGAAUAAAACGUUCCACGUGUGGGAUUUUGUAUGUACCAUAUGAAUAAGGAUCGGCUAACUCCGUGCCAGCAGCCGCGGUACUACGGAGGAUCCGAGCGUUAUCCGGAUUUAUUGGGGUUAAAGGGAGCGUAGGUGGAUUGUUAAGUCAGUUGUGAAAGUUUGCGGCUCAACGGUAAAAUUGCAGUUGAAACUGGCAGUCUUGAGUACAGUAGAGGUGAGCGGAAUUCGUGGUGUAGCGGUGAAAUGCUUAGAUAUCACGAAGAACUUCGAUUGCGAAGGCAGUUCACUGGACUGCAACUGACACUGAGGCUCGAAAGUGUGGGUAUCAAACAGGAUUAGAUACCCGAGUAGUC